UCCCGGCACCCUGCCAGCAGGAGGCCUCCACAGCAGCCCGGGAGCAGUGCCCAGCAGGCUUCUGUAUCUCUCACUGGAGGAGCAGCUUUACCUCCGCGACAGCAGACAGCCACCCAGCGCAGCACUGCCCACUCGCCACAGCAACCAAAACAUCUAUGGUCAUCGCUCUCGAGCAACAGACAGAGCAGAAGGACCUUGACUAGACGAUUCCGAGGGAUUUUCUGUAAGUUAACUGUGCCAUUCUGCUGCAGGUGCUUUCAGCAUAAGUAUUCACCAGAUGUCCUAAUAUUUUUACUUUCUCCUCAUGUGGAAGUCCUGAAGUCUUUCUAUGCCUCCAAUUCUUGCCUUUGUCUGGAUCCUUUCAGUUUCUGUGUGAUUUUUGAGUUGGAGAAUGAGGACCGCACUCAAGGACAGGAGCAUAACUGGAUCACAGGAACACUCGAACUCAGGAACCCUCAGGAAUGAUGCAGGACCCAGGAGCAAUAACACUAAGGAUCAGGAA
Chrysemys picta bellii (western painted turtle) is the source of this 502-nucleotide non-coding RNA. Lineage: Eukaryota; Metazoa; Chordata; Testudines; Emydidae. The record is from RefSeq and is a predicted model, not a curated record.